CGAAGUCCAGGACGCGUGGGCGCGGUGACAGGUGACCAGCGAGGGGCCCGCUGGCGGCGACGGCCGCGGACCUGGGGGCGGGGCGGUGAGCGGGGAGGGUCACUUCGGGGAGAAGGAAAACAGGGGUCUGCGGUUGCUCUGCCCGGCAGCCGGGGCGGGGCCUGGAGCGAGCUGCGUCCCCACCGCUUCUAGGAAUGUCCGCCCGCUGGGCAGCCGGCCCCCAAGGGCUUUGAGGGGGAGCCGCGUUUACGGAAAACUCGUCUCCGGGCACACCCCGGCUGGCUCCGACCGCAGGCCGCUGGCCCCGUCCGGUUGGUUGGUCCAGCCCCGGGCGAGCGCACCAGCCCUCACUCAUAGCCGGGCUCCGGUGCUCUCGCCCCUGGUGCCCCGGGGCCCCCAGUCCCCCUCCCCAGGGCCACCUGCCCUCUUGCGGAGUGAGUACUGCCAGCUGUCGGGCAGAGCUGCCAGCCCCCCGCCAGGGCAUCAAGCUUUCAGCACCCCGAAUCACAGCACCCCCCCUUCAGCCCGCAGUCUCUCGUAGAGGGGCGUGCGGCUUGGUGCAAUGCAUGGAAGCUUCGAGAAAAAGUUCAGCUCUUCACUUGAAAUAUUACCUUUUCAAGUAUGGUGAAUGCAACCGCAAGUAGAGGCUUUCCCUGGACAUUUUCAAAUCCUGUGGGUUUUCUCAGGCUCUCUGAACACGGAGAUGAACUCCGAACUCUCUUUUUCAUGAUGUGUCUCUGAGCAAGGGAACCACGGGAAGCCCAGGCUGGCAAUGCUUCCCAUCAGACAACUCUGACUCGAGCCACCAUUUGAAACUAUCCCCAAGGCUGUUGUCUUCAACCUUUACUUAAAGAUCAUUUCUGUGAAGCAUCCAAUUUCUGCUGCUCCUUUGGGCUGCGGUUUAAGACAGACUUCGCAGUAUUUACUGUUUCUAGUUUUGAGCUGACAACUAUUUAAGGGCAAGAGAUUUCAGCUGCCACCACCCUUCACAGCUUUUGCCACCAACACGUUUGCCAGACAGAACUAGCUGGAGCUCCGGGAAGCUGAGGAAACCAGUUUCAUAUGGUACAAGGAGAAAGAUUUUAGAAUUUGGAGUUGUUUUGCUGCUGUUACGGUCUGUGUUCUCUGUCCCACUUGGAAUGUGGGGCGCUGUGAACUGUGGCGUCUGUGUGGCCUACAGGAAUAAUCAGUGUCACUCAUCUUAGGGUAGUCAGCUCUGCUGGGGUCACUCACAUUCCUGGCUGUGGUGACUCCGCUCUGCUCCCCAUACCUCUUCUCUAGAAGGCUAGCCUGGGCAUGUUAUCAGAGUGAAGGCACAAAUGCACCAGAAACUCACAGCCUCUGGAGGCCUAGACUUAGAGCUGGAACAGGGUCAAGACCAGUGAAUUCUAGGGGCCCAGGAAAGUCUCAAGGUCGCCCCCAUUUUUAAGGCAUUGGGAAGUAAACUCUGCAAAGAACUGUAAAGUCACAAGACAAAAUGGAUUGAGAGGGGGAGUGCUGCAGAAUGGGGCCAUCCAAGCGACCCGCCGCAGCCCUACACUGAGGUGCGGGUCCCCUCCUCCCUGGAGUUCUCUCACGGUGCCUGUUCAUCGUGCCAUCUGCCAGCCCUACGACAGCACUCGCAUGCAUACCCAGCAAGUCCCACUUCUGAAUGCCUUGCUGGCUUCCACGUCUCCAGGACUGCUCCCUCUGCUGGAAAGCUCGCCCCCCCCAACCCUCGAGUCCCCAAGACUCCUCCGCCAAGGGGCUUCCUGGGAUCAGCCAGUAUCGAGUGCAUUUGUGGGGUUCCUUCACUUCAAUCGAAACAGAAUUUCUGAAAGCAGUGGCUGUGCACACACUUGGCCGCAAUCUGAGCCACCGCGCAACCCCCCCGAGGAGAACAGGCAUCUGGACACCGCAAGCAGAGCUAUGUAAAGCUAAUACUCGCAGACGCUGUGGGCUUCAGCCUGUCUAAGGAGGCAGGGAGCUGGCAUGGUAUAUUAAAUUCACUGAAUUUUACAGCGAACAUCUGGCCUCAAGGACAGCUGUGGUCAGGUUUAGUGAAAGACUUCUGUGAAAAAUGGUAACGUCAAAAUAUUUGAGCCUCUGUUUGC
Molecule: long non-coding RNA, 2093 nt
Organism: Ailuropoda melanoleuca (giant panda)
Lineage: Eukaryota; Metazoa; Chordata; Mammalia; Carnivora; Ursidae
Exons: 3
Source: RefSeq, a predicted model, not a curated record